Drosophila biarmipes is the source of this 504-nucleotide long non-coding RNA. RefSeq lists it as uncharacterized. The transcript is spliced from 2 exons. The record is from RefSeq and is a predicted model, not a curated record. NCBI's taxonomy places the organism in Eukaryota, Metazoa, Arthropoda, Insecta, Diptera, Drosophilidae.
CUGGUUACCUGUCAUUAGGCCGGAAUGGAGUACUUUUCGGGGAGCUACAGGGGAGCAUUCCCUGGGUAGGAUGAGCAGUUGCCAGUAAAUACCGCUGGCAGGAUACAAAGGAGCGCGCCAUGACAAAUGACGCACUGAGUGGCAGCCCAGUCACGUGUGAUGAACCGACAACAAUGUCAGCCAAUUCGGGGUGUAUCACCCAGAAACAGCCCCCCAAAAAAAGAAAGAAAUGGAAGCCCCAAGCCUAAGCCAUUGUUUCCCAGACACUUAUACGAGCAGCGGAUAUCGAUGGCAGGACCAAAAGGACUCGCCGUGGCAGCUGUCAGGCGCUUGGGAGGCCCCCGUUCAGGCAUAUGGUUUGCUCACCGAUAAAUAAAUACAUGCGUUCGCAAGAAGGGAAAAUGAUUUAUGCAAAUUGAAAGCACUGCCAAAGCGAUCAUAUAACCUGAGUCAGAACAUCAUAACCCCAAUGUGGCAGUCAAAAUAAAUUGUAAUACAUUAUGA